Molecule: long non-coding RNA, 3204 nt
Organism: Bos indicus x Bos taurus (hybrid cattle)
Lineage: Eukaryota; Metazoa; Chordata; Mammalia; Artiodactyla; Bovidae
Source: Ensembl
AGCAAAUCAACAGAUGCAUCAGGCAGAUGAUGCCUUCCUAGCAUUUAGCAAAAUACCAAGCAGCACUUCGAUGCCCAAGAGAUUCCUUGUUUUUGCGGUCGGUCUGCAGAGAUGUGGCUGCUAGAACCAUGGGAAGAAGGGGAGCUUUGUGUUUGUCUCCACCAAGGGCCCCUGGGAGCACCCAGUUCACCCCCACUUCAGCCCACGUACAGCCGAACCAUCAUGGUCUCAUCCUAGAGACUCACUGCUGCUGCUAAGUUGCUUCAGUCGUGUCCAACUCUGUACGACCCUAUGGACAGCAGCCCACCAGUCUCAUCUGUCCACGGAAUUCUUCAGGCAAGAAUACUGGAGUGGGUUGCCAUUUCCUUCUCCAAGAGACCUGCUAGUGUCUUCAUAUGGACAACUGGGAUAGGAACCAGCAGUCUCCCAACCUCCAAUCUAGUUCAACAUUGAAAUAUGUAUAUAUUCAGUCCUACUUUAGUGAUACAUUAGGUACAAAAAUAUAAAUUAAAGAUGCAUGAGAUAAAAACCGAGUAUAAAUGCACUGGGUUGGAUAACGUCCCUCCAUUAAAAUUCAUGUCCUUCCCUUCAUGAACCUCAGAAUGUGACCUUGUUUGAAAAUAGGAUCUUUGCAGAUGUAGUAGGUUAAGAAAAAGUCACCAUGGAGUCAGGUGGGACCUUAAUUCAAUAGGACAGGCGUCCACAAUAGAAGAGAAGAAAACACACAUGUGCACACACACACACACAUGCACAUAUGCAUACAUGCACACACACAUACACAUAUACACAUGUAACACACACACACACACACAGGGCCAUGUGACCAUGGACACAGAGACUGGAGCAACGCAUCUAUAAACCAAAGAUUACGGGCAAGACCAGGCAGCACCCACCCGUAGUACCAUCAGAGAGAGAACGGAGUCCUUGGUUUCCAACUUCCAGCCUCACUGACAGCGUCCUGUCCCUUGGCAGCUGUGUCCCUCAGUCAUGAGCGUGGUCAGUGUUGACACCAUUCUCGAAGUUUCCCAGCCCAGAAAUCUAGGGGUCCUGCUGAUGUCUUCACCCCCUGACCCCACCCCCAGCCUCAGCAAGUCCUGUUGCUCGUGCUUCUCUAACUUGUUCCACCCAGACCACGCGCCUCAGGCUGCACUGAGAGUCACCUCCCUGGAGGAGAGUAGGGCUCCCUGGAGCCCUCUCUCUGGCCUCCAGUCUUGUCUUCCUGCAGUGCAUUUCACAGGGGCUGUAAGCAUUUCACAGUACUGGCUAUCACCACUCUCCAGAACACACAAGAUGAAGUACAGCUUAACUCAGCAACAGACUCUGAAGACACUGUGGACUGGCCACACUAACACUCUUCCCAGCUCCCCACUGCGUUUUGUUUGUUUUUCUGUGUCCUUCUCUAGAGCCUGGGAAGUUAAAGCAAAUUUUUCUAGACAUCUUCCUAUCAGAGGUGGCCAUGUGACACUCCUGUGGCCAAUAAGAUCAAACAGGAUAAUUAGACAUCGAUUCUGCCAAGACAGGCUCACUGUCUACAAAUGUUAUUGGAUGAAGACAUCAACCACUACACAGCAAGUUGGAGAGAUCCCCAUAUCAAAGAAGCAGGGAUGUCAGAGACAGGGGCUCUGCACUCAGAACAAGGGCUCCUGCCACCGAGGGUCGGGUCACUUGACCUGGAGGCAGUUGGCUUAAGCCGUGAAGGCCGUGUGAGAUGGCCACUUUGAGAGGAGAUGGGUGGCUGGGAGGCCUGACAGAUGGAGAACCUGGGCAGAUACAAAGGACCACUGUCUGGGCCAUAGUUGUCUCUCAAAAUGAACCAUUGGAUGACUGCUUCCGGCGCAGAGAAUGAACAGAAAAUGGGAGUAACAUCCGGACCAGAGGCAGGGAGCCUCACAUAAGGGCCUCAAGGCUUCCGCCUUUACACUGCUGGGCAAAAGGGGCUCCGGGGGGUUUGGGGCAGUGACGAGGGACUCCAAGACUUUGGCCAAACCUGUGCCGACGGAAGGCCCUGUCCCACGGCUGGAUUAUGCGGUGGACCCCUCCUUGCAGCGGGCCCCAAACUGCUGUCCUGCAUCUUAGUUCCCUGUGACAAGCACCCAGAAAGGGCUAGAGUGGGAACAAGCCCCCGUGGGCCUCUGGGGGUCUCCAGCUCCCCAGUAUUGGCCCCUGGUCACGGGGCCCCACCCACCCACAGCUUUGUUUCCGGGAUUGGCCUCCAAGAUGUACAGCAUCUGAGGACACUCUUCCUGUGAAAGAAGGUGCCUCCGGGCACAGCCGCCAGGCACCUGGCACCAGCCUGUCUGGGUGGCAGUGUGGAGGCUGCGUUCCCUCCUGCCGGCAAGCUCAGCAAUGCAUUCUCAGAGAAGCAGACUCAGGUCAACAAGCGGAGCACACGAAUGUGCCCAGGACCAGCUUGCGCUGCCCUUCAAAGUGGACCCCUCUGUCUCAGGGGCUGAAUGCUCACAAUGUUUGGCCCAAGAGCACAGCCCAGACAGGCAGCUGGUGGGGACCCUCCCCCAGCCUGAGCGCUGAGUCCUACCCACGAGACUCGGUGGAGCAGGUGCUCCAGCUGGACUCGUCUCCCAUGAGAGAAGCCAUCUCGUUUCUUAGAUUGCUGGUCUCCCCGAGCUGGAAGGUAGCCCAGAGAUCCCCCAGUCUGGCUCUUUUUCUCCAACAAGAAAACAUCUAAGCCCCCAGCUGGUGCCGAAUGUCAGCCCAGAGCCCAGUGGGAAGCCACAUGAAGGAGUCUGGGGAGGUGAGAAGACAGUGUCUUGCUCCCCACCCUGGUACCCCACCCAAGGCUGAGCCCCCACUGGGAGGUGCAGGAGCUAAAGCCCAUUGCCAGGUGAAUUGGUCCAUUUUUAAGAGGAAGUCUCGGUGAGGAGCCCACAUUGUAGACAGAUCAUGGGAUUUGAAAUCAGCUUGAAUCUCUGAGAUGUUGGUUCUCCCAAGCCAUAAACUCCUUUAAGUGGAGCCUACUGAAAUCCCAGUGUUGUUUCAGGUUAUUAUUUCAAUCAGAAGGCAUUAGACUCCACAGAUAAGAGCAAUAUUCUGGAAUUUGAUCCUUUAUUGGGGAAGUGAUUAUUUGGCUGUGAAAUCUCAUAAAGCAGUAAUAACUGUGAAAUCACCAUGUACAUUUUAUCAUUGAGCUGUCCCCUCACUCCACAUCUACUGAGAAAUAAAACAGGACUCUACAUUUGUUGUUCA